Molecule: ribosomal RNA, 305 nt
Filed under: uncultured Planctomycetota bacterium
Lineage: Bacteria; Pseudomonadati; Planctomycetota
Description: bacterial SSU rRNA
Rfam family: Bacterial small subunit ribosomal RNA
Source: RNAcentral
AAUGAACGUUGGCGGCGUGGAUUAGGCAUGCAAGUCGAGCGAGAAGUGUAGCAAUACAUGGAAAGCGGCGAAAGGGAUAGUAACGCGUAGGUACCUACCCCGGGACUGGGACAGCGGCGGGAAACUGCCAUUAAUACCAGAUAACGUCUCCGGACCAAAGGUGUAAUUCCGCCUGGGGAUGGGCCUGCGUCCUAUCAGCUAGUUGGUGGGGUAACGGCCUACCAAGGCUACGACGGGUAGCGGGUGUGAGAGCACGACCCGCAUCACUGGGACUGAGAUACUGCCCAGACACCUACGGGUGGCUG